RNAcentral lists this ribosomal RNA (497 nucleotides) under uncultured bacterium. Its description in RNAcentral is "partial 16S ribosomal RNA". It matches the Rfam family "Bacterial small subunit ribosomal RNA", at positions 28 to 507 of the family's 1533-position model. The record is from RNAcentral.
GAUGAACGCUGGCGGCGUGCCUAAUACAUGCAAGUCGAGCGAACAGACGAGGAGCUUGCUCCUCUGACGUUAGCGGCGGACGGGUGAGUAACACGUGGAUAACCUACCUAUAAGACUGGGAUAACUUCGGGAAACCGGAGCUAAUACCGGAUAAUAUAUUGAACCGCAUGGUUCAAUAGUGAAAGACGGUUUUGCUGUCACUUAUAGAUGGAUCCGCGCCGCAUUAGCUAGUUGGUAAGGUAACGGCUUACCAAGGCGACGAUGCGUAGCCGACCUGAGAGGGUGAUCGGCCACACUGGAACUGAGACACGGUCCAGACUCCUACGGGAGGCAGCAGUAGGGAAUCUUCCGCAAUGGGCGAAAGCCUGACGGAGCAACGCCGCGUGAGUGAUGAAGGUCUUCGGAUCGUAAAACUCUGUUAUUAGGGAAGAAAAAAUGUGUAAGUAACUAUGCACGUCUUGACGGUACCUAAACAAAAAGCCACGGCUAACUUCGUG